This is a long non-coding RNA of Falco peregrinus (peregrine falcon), 8184 nucleotides long. RefSeq lists it as uncharacterized. Lineage: Eukaryota; Metazoa; Chordata; Aves; Falconiformes; Falconidae. The record is from RefSeq and is a predicted model, not a curated record. The transcript is spliced from 3 exons.
CCUGAUUCUACACUGCCUGGCAGCGUUCAGCUGAGAUAUUCCAGCUUCCUUCUGAUCCUUCUGGGAAAGGUUAGAGGAGGUCCAGGUUCCUCACGGACGCGUAUGGUGUCUUCUUGUACCUCGGAGCUGAGCGUGGGCGUGGAGUUGCACACCCAGACAGCCCUUUGUUCCACAGGCCACCGAGCAGAUGGAGACCAGUUUUGGCCCCAAGGUCAGGAUGCCCAGGAGUUUCAUGCGUACCCAAGGACAAAGGCUGGCAAGCGAUGAAAGGACUCCGGCACUCGUUUACUGCUCUGGCGUCCACACACGUUACGUUGUCCAGCUGCGCCAUAGGAAAGAUGCCCGUGUAAGGAUGGAGUCAGAGAUGCUGGCAGGGAAGAAGCUGCAUUCCCUUUGCCAAAGAACACCCUGCCCUCCGCAUCCCAUCGGCUGUGGCCUCGGCAGAGGGAGCUCGUCCUCAGCUCUUUGGUGAUCCUUAAAUCCCAUCAGGGCUGACAGGGAGAAUUUGAAAGGAUAUCGUCAAAUUUUGCUGUCGUUGCCAUUUAGUCUUUAUAGCUGGUGCCGGCAUUCCCAGUUUCCGGCAAUUCCCCAGCAGCCUGAAGACUUAAUGUCUUCCUUGGCUGACUGUGGUAGGGAUUGAUUAAUCUGGGUUGGGGCUUUCCACGAGGGUCUGGCUGUGGCAUUUCUGCCUUGGCAACAGAAAUGAUCAUUUGUGCUCUGUGUGCUACUUUCAGCCCGCUGGCUGGAAAUCCUCUGCGUACCUGCAAGCUGUUGGAAAGAGUUUUAAUUUGGGGCUGGCUUUUUCUUUUAAAAAUUAGAGGUGCUGCAGGCAGCGAAAAGCAUUAAAGAUUAAUUUUCACAAGCACACAUGAAAUUCGAAGCAGCUGGUGUCUGAAGUGCCUCUCCAUGCAAGACAUUUCUGCUGUAUUUUCCAUGAACUCUGCGGCAUGAAGCAGUGUGUGUAAUACUUCCCGAUCAGUGACGAUGAAAUGCUGGGCUCUGUCUUGCUCCGGGCUAGCAGCAGCAUCUGUGGGCAUGGCUGAGGAUGUGGGAGACCGGGGUGAUGGGCAGCCAUGCCCCUAGUUUGCAAUGCAGUGCUAAAGCAGCAAGGCAGCAUUUUCCGUAGUGGAACUUUCAGCACUUUACAGAAGGUUAAAUGUCAGCUCUGCCUUUUACAUUUGGGGAAACCAGGUCACGGAGCAGGAGGGGGAUGUUGCCCCAAGGUCAUCUGGCAUCCAAGGGACACCGUUCAGGGCCGGGUCAGUGCUCUGGCCAUUAGCUGCUUCUGAUACAGAAAGGGCAUCCUCUGUGGCACUGCGGAUGCCUCGGGGGCUAUUUGGGCAGAGACAGUUCUUUCCUGGUUGUCUCAGAGACUUCUGCUGUGGCUAAGAGCUCCUGGGAGCUGCUGGUGGGUACUGGUGGCCCCCUGGGGACAGUGUGGAGGGGAGGGUACAGCAGCCUGUGCCGCUCAUGCCAUGCUGCUUGGCUAGCAGAGACAAAUCAUCCUACAGAUUUGGCAGGGCUGUCAGCAAGGCAAGCCCUGCUCAAAGGAUACUGCUACAGAGGUUAUUUGAACUACCUGGGGAUUUUUAAAUUUUAUUUUUGCCUUUUUUUUGGUUUUUUUUUUUCCUAAGCCCUAAACUAUGUGGAACUCAGACUAAACAGAAAAUACAGCUAAGAAAACAUCUUGGUAUAAUGCUGGGAGUCAGACUGUUGCAGCAUGCUUCUGAAAUCCAAUUGUGGUUGUAAGGUGAUCCCAGAAACCGAAGGAUUAAAACUGUAAGGCAGCUCACAAAUACCAGACCAUUAAGGAAGGCAUCUUGGUUACGGAGGCCCAAAUGAUUUUCAGGGUCCAUUUGGGGACAAGGUGGCACCAGGCGUUUAGCACCUCAGUACGCAGUGAUGUGUGAGCGGUGAGCGAUGUGCACUGGAUCCAGCCCAGCAUAUUGGAAGCAUAGGUACCAGGUGCUGAACUGGGAAUUUCUCUCCUGUAAGACAUUGUGGGCUGUCCCCCCUCAAAAUGAAGACAAUCUUUUCCACUCUAAUGCUCUAAUUGUGUGUGUAUGUGUAAAAUUAUAGAUUAUUACAGAUUAUAUAUAUAUCUACACAGAUCUAUCAAUAAUAUUAUAUAUCUAUAUCUGGAUAUCUAAUAUAAUCUCUAAAUAUUCUAUAUCUAUCUUAAAUUACAGCAACCACUCUGAUAACUUACUGGUUUGCCUCCUUUAGGCUGUAUCUGUUGUUCUGCUUUACCUUGCUAGCUAAAUCUCAUUCCUUUCUUCCCCUGGUAACCUUCAGUGAGCAUCCCUUUACAUGUUCAAUAUGUUUAACUGAUAGUUCCCUCUUGGUGCUAAUAAUCCACUAGGCAAAUUAUCAGAUUAAGAGGGGGAAACAGUGACACACCCUGCGCUGUGUCCCGCAGAGGACUUCCACUUCUGUCUAGAAAGAAGCUGACGGAGGCACAUCUGCCAGUGCAGCACCUUUGACUUGAAUGACUUCUCCAUGCUAAAUGCAAACGCGAUUAAUCAAUUCUUUAUCAUCAUUCAUAAAAGACAAGUGUCACUGUUAAGUCUGGGGUUUGCGUACUUCUGCUUCUGGUACUUCUGCCUUUGGAGUUUUCUCCAUUUCUGGGUUGUUGUGGGGAUUCCAGCUGAAAUCAGAUGUGCAGAAGUAAGCAAAUAAAAAAUGUUAAUUAAAUCCUUUUCACUGCCUAGAAUUGAGCAUAUCCUGACGUGUAUGGAAGACCGGACACGAUAAAGAUGGGGUCAUAAGCAUAGGGCAAGGAAUGUGAUCUUCUUGAGGAUAUCCACCAGCCAAUAUGCCCCGUUGCUGGAUUUACUUUACACCUCCAAAUUCAGCUGCUAAUUCCACCCCACAACUCCAGGACAGAUGAUCUUAUUAAGCAUUGGUUUACAUUAUAAUAUUUUUGCCCUGCAACACUGUUAGUAUUGAGUGCUAGAAUUCCCUGGUUUUGUAGAGCUGGGUCUUAGGACAAAAGUCCUGAUUACAUUGACGAUAAUGGCAGAACUCCCCCAGGCUCCCCAGGACACCUCCCCACAGUGUCAUCUUUCUCCAAAGGGAUGAGCACUCAGCGUAAAAUGACCUGGAGCUGGAAGUCCUUGACAUCUUCAAAAAAGAAGUUCAGGGUGUCCUGAACAAGAAACCCAAUAAACUAGCACCUAAAAGUAGAGGAUGCUUUUCACCCUUCAGAUAUUUUAUAUCUCUGGUUCCAGCUUGACAGACACAAGCCUGGGAAAUCAUGGAAUCCUGCCUCUGCCUGGCUGAAAGGCGAAUUCUAUUUAUAUUUUGUAACAGGAAAAUGAAUCAGAGAGAUGCUGACUGUUUGGCUUCUUAAACUGGUCUUCAGUUCCACAGGUCAUGAAACAUUAUGGGAUUACAGGGCAAGAAAUUGUUUGAUGGAGCUAAACGUAUCGCACUAGCUUAGCCUGGGGAUUCAGCCUGGACAGCUGAUCCGUUUGUCCCCUGUCAUUUUGGGUGAGGAAAGGUGGCUUUUUGCUUUGCAAAGCCUCUGUCAUUCCUUUUGGUCCCUCCACCAUGAUGAGCAGCUGCAAACUCAGCUUCUUCAUGUGGAUCUCUCAAACUUGCAGAAGAUGAUGCUGCAGAGUCAAACUGCGAAUGUGGUCCGAGUUACUAUUUGACAGGGGAGGACUGCUCUCAACCUGCCUAGCACAGGCAAAAAGUUUGUGUAAGUUUUGACUCUGCUGGGAGACAGGCCCUGGUUCGCAAGAUGUUUUCCAGACCCGGUUAAACUGCUUUCCAAAGGCACGGUGCGUUUCUGCAAGACAACAGCCUUCGCUGUAAUAGGCUGGACCAAAUUGCUGAUGAUUUGAAAUCAGUUUGCUACGGAUGGUUUUAAAGCUGGCGUUCAGUUCAUUUCCAGGCAGCUGCACAUUGUUGUAAUUUGCUAACGGUGUCACAAAUGCUACUUUUUCCUUGCCUUGUCACAGCUCCUCUGAAUUACUCCUUUAAUUUCUGCGCAAGUCUUCUCUCUUGCAGCCUCUGCCACCUCAAAGAGCAGCAAGAGCACCUCCCCUUUGCAAUUUUCCUUUCCCUCUUAACCUUGACCUGUAAUAUGCUGAAAGUUGUUACUGAAAACUACCUUGAUCAGGAAUGACAUUAUAAAAACUCGCUCAGCCAGAUGCAGCAAAAAAUCCAGCCACGAUAAAGAUUCCCAGAGCCAACAAUUUUGAGUUACGGACCUACCCUGUCUUGGAACAUGGAGUCAACUGCUUCAAGGUAGUAGCUAUUAAGUUUUGUUUGCUUUCUUUCAGAGUGACUGGGCUUUGUGAAAAGGAGGCUUGGCUGAGCAUUGCUGUGCCUAAAAAUACUGAGCAGAGAGAUGCUUUCUGAGCUGGGCUGUGAAAGCAGCGCUGCAGGGCUAGACUCUGCCAAAGGCGCGUUUGCAGGGACGACUGCUGAGGUUUGGGGACUUAAAUUCUGCUUUGCAGCCAUGCACCUGAGAGGAGAAGCCUAGCCCAGAGCCCUCAGGACCUUCAGAGUUGGGGGUUUGUGGUCUGAACUCAGUUCACACCUAAAUCCAUCGCUGAUGUGAAGCCAGAUCCUAACAGCAUGGCUUUGUGGAGCGAGACUGCAAAGGGAAGCUGGACGCACGGCUGAACAUCAGCUCCUGCCAUGCAAAGGUUGUGCACGAUCUGGACACCACAAUUCGGGAAAGGUCUUUAGAAGUGGGUUGGUUUUUUUUUGUGGGGGUGUUUUGUUUUGUUUUGUUGUUGUUGUUUCCCUUAAAAUCUUUAUUGUCUCUGGGAAUGCUCUGCUUAAGACUUUUCCAGACUGGGCGGCAAAUUCACAGACCCCAUUAGCGGGAGAUCCUUGACCCAGAAGGUUACGAUGAACAUCUGAUGAUUUGAAUCAUCAAACCCAGCCAAAGAGCAUUUGUGUAUAUUGAAUUUUAUAAGAGUUAACUUUUGGAAGGACUGGAGCCUGGACAUGGAAACAGCUUUAAUGGGUUCUGCUUGAGGCUUUUAUUUACUGCAAACUCGGGCGGAGAAAACAAGGUCCAGUUCCUGCUGCAGCCAAUGGAAACCAUCUAUUUAUUGCAGUGGAUAGAGACUCUAACCCUUCGCUCGUGUUCAACCUGAACUCCUCCAGCCUGCAUGCGUUGGCAGUGAAUGAACUGCUCUCAGUUUCUGGUCUUCGAGCUCUGGAAUUCUUUUCGAUCCUGGAGAUAAGAAAAAAGUCUUCUAAACAGAUGCGUCAUGCCUGCUUAAUUUUCCAUUAAAAACAGAGAAGAUAUUUAACUCUCUCCUAUCGGGGUGUGUGUGUGAAAAAGCCAUGCUUUCUUGGCGCCAAAAUCCAUCUAUUAGUGGAGAUACUGUGAAGACCUUGGAGUAUCCAUCCCUGUAAACAUCAUUAGUUGUGGAAAAGCCAUUCAUUAGUAACAGGCAAUAUGUUCUUCUAUCCUUUCCUCUGAAGAAUAGGCAGUGCUAUCUAAAUAAGCUGUUUCCUGAGAAGUUACUCAAAGUUACUGCUGUAGCUGUAGGCCAACUCUCCUCCCCCAGGAGCCAGACAGAAACAAAGCUCUCAGAGAGAAAAGAGCUGCCCUUUAGUCCAGCAGACUGUGCCAUUCCUCUGAAGUUCUUCCUUUCUCCUCAGCCUCCUGGUUAAUGUGCUCCCUGCUUGCUUUCUCAACUCCUGUCAUCUGCAAAACCAGCCAUUUCCAUGCCUACAUGCGAGCUGAAGGCACCGGUGCCCUGACACUCCUCUGUGCUCUUUUUUUUUUGUCCAAAAGCAGCUGCAAAAAUCCUCCCUGACAUCCCAUCCGAGCCUCUUCAGAUUCCCCUCGCUGGCUUCCCAUGACCUUCUGCAAUAAUUCUGCAUUCCUUGUCCUCCUCCUUCAGCAUCCUCCGGAGUAUCCCUGGCUUCCCCAGCCAAGAAACCACGACCAGGCAUCUUCUCACAGGCUUUGUCCUGGACCACCCUGGCAGCAAGGACCUGGCACUGAGGGGCAAAACGGGGAACAGCCUCUCCAAAUGCCUGUGUGACAGCAGUGCUGUGGAAAAAUCCUUGCUGUUCACUUCUUGGCGAGGAAGGACAUGUUUGUGGAACACUGUCUGCAGUCGGCUGGUGGAUACCUGCUCUGAUGGUGCUGGAGGGCGCACUUGGAGGAAGGCGUCUAUGUUUCUUUCAGUUGUGCCCUCUGCUAUGUGUUACCAGCACUUAAUUACACCUUAUACAUUAGAAACGCUCCCUUGCCCUCAACAGUCCACUUCCAGAGGUGUUUUGGACAACACGUCAAAGCAGGAAAGACUCUCAGAGGAGAGGGCAGAUGUAAGGACGCUGAUGGGUCUUUCUGUGCUGUCUUUCAGGCCAGACUUGUAGCCAGGAUAUUAAUUUCUUAAAGUUGUUAAUUACCUCUAUUAAAAAAAAAAAAAAAAAAAAAAAAAAAAAAGCCUGCUGGCCUCUGGGUGAUCAUAUUCCAAUGGGAGUGAGUUGUAACUUUCCCUAAACGCCACCUAUGAUCCCACCUGGCUAUCACAGAAUCUCCUUCCUUCCCCUCCAUUUGCUGUCAGAGCUCCAGCAGCUUUCUACCGAGAGCUUUGGGCUGUCAGAGUGGCAUUCGCCACUUUUGCUAGUUAAAUAUUUCCAAUGUGGUCAGGUUUUCUAGAAAUGCAGAAAAAUUGUAGAAAAAUGUAGAGUGCUUAUUGGAUUCUCACCGGAUAGGAGGUGAUAGGGAAUAAUUAGGCUUGGGUGCAACGUAUAUUUUCUAGCACCUAUUCAGCAUUUGCUAUAAGGUAUCAAAUGGAUCCAAGAUACAAGUCCAAGCAGAAAAGGAGUAAAAUGUAUUAGGCACAGCCCUGGACCACCAGGCAAAGAGGAUUUAGUGUGUAUAAUAAACUGCCUGUGUAUCAUUUAUCAUGGCUCCACAGUGAUUGCCUGGGGGUGGUGAUGGACACUGUAAGUUGCAAAAAUAUAAUGACGUGUCGUGUAACAGACCGCAGGUGUCCGUGUGGGGAGCCGGGAGGAAAUCAACCUGACAGGCUUAAGAAAGUGGCUUGUGCUGGCAUCCGCAGGGACCCCCGGGUGCCCAGGCGCGUCCCCCGCCUGCUGCAUCACUCUCCCAGUUUCCUGGCGGGAGGGCUCUGCUGAAAGGCUUCUUUUUCCCUUCCCCGUCCAGAUGAUCCCACCUCGUCAGGCAGCCUCUGUUUUCCUUUGGCAAGGGGAACAGCUGGGGCAGAUCUCUCCUGCUCCAGGGGGAGUGGGCUGCGGCCGAGACCCCCUGCCCUCCCCUGCACCUUGCUCCUGGGUGGGAGAAAGCAAAAAAGCUUGCAAGAAGCUUUGCAUUUCCCCCAAAAGCUCCAUCACCUUGGGGGUCACGCACAUCCCCAAGGGGGCAGCCCCUUCCAGGGAACUCAAGGGAUGAGCAUUUCAGCAGAGCCCCCAUUCCAUGGCUCCUCAGUCCAUCCAUAAGCAUCUCCGUUAUUGGAGAGCCCCCGACCUCCCCUGACAGGUUUCUCCAUUGUCUGCCUGACCUCACCAUUAUAAAGCAUUUCCUACUAUUUAGCCCAAUGUUUUUCUUUCUUAAUUUUAGGCCAUUAGUGCUUGUUCUUCCCAAAAUUUACUACUGAAAAUUACUCUGCCUCCUCCCUUCCUCUCACUUGACGGAUGGCUACAGAGUGACCCUCCAGGAUUUAUAUCUCCAGUGGUGAGGCAGGACUCUUCUCCUAUCUUAAUCCCUCAAGGCCAUAGAAAAAUAAAGUCAUCGUCUUUAAAUCUGAAUCUGUUACAACCUCUGUUGCAAAGCAGCGACGUUCUCCACCUUGCUGAAGUUCAGCUGUAUUUGCUUUCACAGCUCCAUCCCAGAAAGUCCAGGAAUGACUUUCAAAGAUGCUUCGUUUUUCACCAGGGAUUUUAGAAACUUGUUACAGUGCCUCAUGGUACACUAGCUAGAGUUAUAUUUACCUUCUUUAUUUUAUUUUUCAUUUUUUUGCUAUGCAUGUAAUCCAAAGGCCAUUCACUUCCCAGUCAGAGGGGAAAAGUUUCUCUUUCCCCUCUUUAAUUUAGACCUAUAUGAAUAAUUCCCUUUGAGGUUUGCUGCUUGAACAAAAAAAAAGUGAAAGAAAGCAAGCAAAUAGUUUGGUGAUCAAACACCUAUUGUGUUGGGUUUGUUAGCUUUUUGGAUUAUUAAGAAUUUUAACUCUCUUUGAC